RNAcentral lists this long non-coding RNA (388 nucleotides) under Numida meleagris (helmeted guineafowl). Its description in RNAcentral is "lncRNA (ENSNMEG00000011563.1)". Lineage: Eukaryota; Metazoa; Chordata; Aves; Galliformes; Numididae. The record is from RNAcentral.
GUUAGGAAUCAUUGUAAUUAGGCUAUUGGGUAAUCAGGUGAAAUCCGUUAUGUGCAACGUUACCCGAAAGAGAAUAGGUCAAAAACUAAGUCACUGCUUUGCUCAGGGCAGAAAGCUUCACAAAGGUGCACUGCAGAAUAGAUAAAUCAGUUUCCAGUAUGGUGUACAACUAAGGCCUUAUGAAUACUUUUUAAGCGGCAGCGGUCUGCUAAUUUUGCUGUGGUUAGCAUAAACAUGGCUAUCAGACUGGUGGCAAUGCAAGGAGCACAUUCAGUCCUACAGCCCUUUAGCGAUGUACUUUUCUGUUUCCAUUCAAUGGCAGUCUUCCCUGUGGCUCAGGUUUGUUCCAGAAGUAUCGAAAGGAGUUGCCAGUUCAAGCACUUCAUCU